CGAGAUNGAGNNUNGUUACGGAUGCGCUAAGUACCGGAUGUGCCGAGAGGUGAAAGGUUAACUGCCUGAAGAGGAGCUCGCGUCUGAUUAGCUAGUUGGUGGGGUAAAAGCCUACCAAGGCGACGAUCAGUAGCUGGUCUGAGAGGAUGAUCAGCCACACUGGGACUGAGACACGGCCCAGACUCCUACGGGAGGCAGCAGUGGGGAAUUUUCCGCAAUGGGCGAAAGCCUGACGGAGCAAUACCGCGUGAGGGAGGAAGGCUCUUGGGUUGUAAACCUCUUUUCUCAGGGAAUAAAAAAAUGAAGGUACCUGAGGAAUAAGCAUCGGCUAACUCCGUGCCAGCAGCCGCGGUAAUACGGAGGAUGCAAGCGUUAUCCGGAAUGAUUGGGCGUAAAGCGUCCGCAGGUGGCUAUGUAAGUCUGCUGUUAAAGAGCAAGGCUCAACCUUGUAAAGGCAGUGGAAACUACAUAGCUAGAGUGCGUUCGGGGCAGAGGGAAUUCCUGGUGUAGCGGUGAAAUGCGUAGAUAUCAGGAAGAACACCGGUGGCGAAAGCGCUCUGCUAGGCCGCAACUGACACUGAGGGACGAAAGCUAGGGGAGCGAAUGGGAUUAGAUACCCCANUUAGUCANGGGA
Molecule: ribosomal RNA, 634 nt
Filed under: Cylindrospermum sp. 6D6
Lineage: Bacteria; Bacillati; Cyanobacteriota; Cyanophyceae; Nostocales; Nostocaceae
Description: bacterial SSU rRNA
Rfam family: Bacterial small subunit ribosomal RNA
Source: RNAcentral